RNAcentral lists this ribosomal RNA (678 nucleotides) under Brevibacterium sp. 11410. Its description in RNAcentral is "bacterial SSU rRNA". It matches the Rfam family "Bacterial small subunit ribosomal RNA", at positions 71 to 762 of the family's 1533-position model. Lineage: Bacteria; Bacillati; Actinomycetota; Actinomycetes; Micrococcales; Brevibacteriaceae. The record is from RNAcentral.
GCCGACAGCUUGCUGUUGGUGGAUGAGUGGCGAACGGGUGAGUAACACGUGAGUAACCUGCCCCUGAUUUCGGGAUAAGCCUGGGAAACUGGGUCUAAUACCGGAUAUGACCAAUCCUUGCAUGAGGGUUGGUGGAAAGUUUUUCGAUCGGGGAUGGGCUCGCGGCCUAUCAGCUUGUUGGUGGGGUAAUGGCCUACCAAGGCGACGACGGGUAGCCGGCCUGAGAGGGCGACCGGCCACACUGGGACUGAGACACGGCCCAGACUCCUACGGGAGGCAGCAGUGGGGAAUAUUGCACAAUGGGGGAAACCCUGAUGCAGCGACGCAGCGUGCGGGAUGACGGCCUUCGGGUUGUAAACCGCUUUCAGCAGGGAAGAAGCGAAAGUGACGGUACCUGCAGAAGAAGUACCGGCUAACUACGUGCCAGCAGCCGCGGUAAUACGUAGGGUACGAGCGUUGUCCGGAAUUAUUGGGCGUAAAGAGCUCGUAGGUGGUUGGUCACGUCUGCUGUGGAAACGCAACGCUUAACGUUGCGCGUGCAGUGGGUACGGGCUGACUAGAGUGCAGUAGGGGAGUCUGGAAUUCCUGGUGUAGCGGUGAAAUGCGCAGAUAUCAGGAGGAACACCGGUGGCGAAGGCGGGACUCUGGGCUGUAACUGACACUGAGGAGCGAAAGCAU